GAUGAACGCUAGCGGCAGGCUUAACACAUGCAAGUCGAGGGGCAGCGCGGGGUAGCAAUACUCUGGCGGCGACCGGCGCAAGGGUGCGUAACGCGUGAGCAACUUGCCCGUUUCAGGGGGAUAACCGGUGGAAACGCCGACUAAUACCCCAUAGUAUCAGAUGAAGGCAUCUUUAUCUGAUUAAAGAAAUUCGGAAACGGAUAGGCUCGCGUGACAUUAGCUAGAUGGCGGGGUAACGGCCCACCAUGGCGACGAUGUCUAGGGGUUCUGAGAGGAAGGUCCCCCACACUGGAACUGAGACACGGUCCAGACUCCUACGGGAGGCAGCAGUGAGGAAUAUUGGUCAAUGGUCGCAGGACUGAACCAGCCAUGCCGCGUGAAGGUCACGGCCCUAUGGGUCUUAAACUUCUUUUGCGAGGGAGCAAUAAGGCGCACGUGUGCGUCGAUGAGAGUACCUCGCGAAUAGCAUCGGCUAACUCCGUG
RNAcentral lists this ribosomal RNA (483 nucleotides) under uncultured bacterium. RNAcentral's name for it is "bacterial SSU rRNA". It matches the Rfam family "Bacterial small subunit ribosomal RNA", at positions 28 to 507 of the family's 1533-position model. The record is from RNAcentral.